UUAACUUGCACAAUAUGUGUACAAAAUGUACCUUCGGUAAAAGAAGCCUUAGAAAAUGGUCGAUUACUUAUUGGAAUAAUUGAUUCAUGGCUACUCUGGAAUCUCUGUGGUGUCCAUUCGACCGAUGUUACUAAUGCGAGUCGAACUUUCCUUAUGAACAUUGAGACACUUGAGUGGGAUCAUUAUCUUUGCGAAAAAGUAUUCAAGAUUCCGGUAUCAAUUUUACCUAAAAUACAAUCAUCAGCAUCACACUUCGGUUUAAUCAAAUCUGGUUCUUUACAAGGGAUUCCUUUCUCUGGUGUUAUUGGUGAUCAGCACUCAGCUUUAGUGGGUCACCAAUGUCUCUCUCCUGGUUAGAUUAAAAGUACUUAUGGAACUGGAUGUCUCAUUUUACAAAAUUUAGGUUCACUUUCGGUGAAAAAAGUUCUGAGCGGAGUUUUAGCUGAAGCUAGAAAGUCACUAA
This is a long non-coding RNA of Panonychus citri (citrus red mite), 463 nucleotides long. RefSeq lists it as uncharacterized. NCBI's taxonomy places the organism in Eukaryota, Metazoa, Arthropoda, Arachnida, Trombidiformes, Tetranychidae. The transcript is spliced from 3 exons. The record is from RefSeq and is a predicted model, not a curated record.